CGUACGGGUGAGUAACACGUGGGUAAUCUACCUCUUAGUGGGGAAUAACCAGGGGAAACGUCUGGCUAAUACCGCAUAAGCCUGAGAAGGGAAAGCAGCAAUGCGCUGAGAGAGGAGCCCGCGGCCGAUUAGCUAGUUGGUGAGGUAAGAGCCACCAAGGCAUAGAUCGGUAGCCGGCCUGAGAGGGCACACGGCCACACUGGCACUGAAACACGGGCCAG
RNAcentral lists this ribosomal RNA (221 nucleotides) under uncultured bacterium. RNAcentral describes it as "partial 16S ribosomal RNA". It matches the Rfam family "Bacterial small subunit ribosomal RNA", at positions 99 to 334 of the family's 1533-position model. The record is from RNAcentral.